GAUGAACGCUGGCGGCGUGCCUAAUACAUGCAAGUCGAGCGAACAGACGAGGAGCUUGCUCCUCUGACGUUAGCGGCGGACGGGUGAGUAACACGUGGAUAACCUACCUAUAAGACUGGGAUAACUUCGGGAAACCGGAGCUAAUACCGGAUAAUAUAUUGAACCGCAUGGUUCAAUAGUGAAAGACGGUUUUGCUGUCGCUUAUAGAUGGAUCCGCGCCGCAUUAGCUAGGUGGUAAGGUAACGGCUUACCAAGGCAACGAUGCGUAGCCGACCUGAGAGGGUGAUCGGCCACACUGGAACUGAGACACGGUCCAGACUCCUACGGGAGGCAGCAGUAGGGAAUCUUCCGCAAUGGGCGAAAGCCUGACGGAGCAACGCCGCGUGAGUGAUGAAGGUCUUCGGAUCGUAAAACUCUGUUAUUAGGGAAGACCAAAUGUGUAAGUAACUAUGCACGUCUUGACGGUACCUAAUCAGAAAGCCACGGCUAACUACGUG
RNAcentral lists this ribosomal RNA (497 nucleotides) under uncultured bacterium. RNAcentral's name for it is "partial 16S ribosomal RNA". It matches the Rfam family "Bacterial small subunit ribosomal RNA", at positions 28 to 507 of the family's 1533-position model. The record is from RNAcentral.